Molecule: ribosomal RNA, 227 nt
Filed under: uncultured bacterium
Lineage: Bacteria
Description: partial 16S ribosomal RNA
Rfam family: Bacterial small subunit ribosomal RNA
Source: RNAcentral
UGAGUAACACGUAUCCAACCUGCCGUCUACUCUUGGCCAGCCUUCUGAAAGGAAGAUUAAUCCAGGAUGGCAUCAUGAGUUCACAUGUCCGCAUGAUUAAAGGUAUUCCGGUAGACGAUGGGGAUGCGUUCCAUUAGAUAGUAGGCGGGGUAACGGCCCACCUAGUCUUCGAUGGAUAGGGGUUCUGAGAGGAAGGUCCCCCACAUUGGAACUGAGACACGGUCCAA